This is a long non-coding RNA of Biomphalaria glabrata, 1035 nucleotides long. RefSeq lists it as uncharacterized. The transcript has 2 exons. The record is from RefSeq and is a predicted model, not a curated record. Lineage: Eukaryota; Metazoa; Mollusca; Gastropoda; Planorbidae.
AAAAGAUCCAUAGAUGAAGAAGACGAGGAAAAAAAAAAACCCUCAGAAAAUACCGCCAUGGUUUGCUGGCCGGCUAAACCCAGCAGUCGACAAGACCUCGCGCUCUGCCACAGCGUCUUCGUGUUUGAACAUCACAUGGCUGUAGCGCGAGUCCUCUCUCUCCCCCGUUUUCGCCACGGGUUGCGAGCAUGUCUUCAUAUUGAUAGGGAAUUCUACCCUGUGCAAGUGUGUGUGAGGAAUCUAUACACUCUUCUGUGAUUACAAAUAUUCGGUCCAGGCGGAAGCAUAUAAUUAAAGAGAGAAAAAAAAAAGCGGUUUGCUGUAUAGUAUGAAUUUAACCCCUUUGUAAGGGAAAAAAUAUACUGGGGGGAAAAGUUUAAAAAUAGAAGCGUCUUGGCACAGACUAUUGGAGCGUGUCGACCUAGGAUUUUAAUAGUGUGUGUGUUUUUUUAGGUACAGCGGUGCAGCAAGUCCUCUAUGGAGUUAACAAUGCAUGCAUUCUUUCGUUCUAAUUCUAAGGCUUAUUCAUAAAUAAUUCCUACAUCCGUCUUAUUUGGAUUAUAUGCUGCUGUGUGUUUGAAUGUAUGUGCCAGGAUUCGUCACAUACGACUGUUUUUUCAUUGGUGUACAUAUUAUUCCCCCAAAUAUCUAGAUUUUUUUUAGCAAGACUGUUUCGAAAUUCAAUUCACACAAACUAUGCCAGGCUUUUGAUGACUUCAUCUGCCAUUACCAGCACGACUAGUAUGUGUGAAACAGAGCUUCGGUCUUUCAGUUCGAACGAUGAAAAGAAAGAAUCUAUCAAAAGCAGAAUUGAUGAGAGUUUAGCUUGGCUGCCAAUUGGCAUUCGUUGUAGAUACAGCCGAUGCUUGGUAUAUCAAUCACACCAAAAGUCAAGACAGAAAUAAAUGAAACUUUGUAGUUUCAAAAUGCUUCAUCAGCUUCAAUGUAUCACUAAGUAUGGCGAACUCUUAAUUCAUGUCUCAUUAGCUCAAGAAUAUGAAAUAAAAACAAAUAAAAGUUUAUGACUGUCUGUAA